GUGGCGGUGGCGGGCAUGGGCAACUUCGAUGGUGGUCGUGUUUGGUGGGCUUACUAACGUCAAUGCAGGAUGAUGUGCGGUUUAGGUGGUGUGGAGCUUCGUGAAAACCAUGUCCUCACUUCGUGCCGUGACCAGCGAUGGCGGCGGCUGUGGUCGUCGUUGACCUUCUUGGAGGCAUCAUUGCUUGUUCUCCCACUCAUCCAGCACGGAUCUGGCCUUUUCGGUCUCUCUGGAGAAACCUUGAUCUGUGAUCGGACGAUGACGACGCCUUGGUGUCGUAUUCCCUCUUGAGGGCUUCGUUUUGGGAGCUUGGCAUCGGUGAGUGGGACCGCUGGACGGCGGUUGGUGGCGGGUGUGGCGUCCAGACUUCUGUGGCAACGAUGAGGGUGGGAGCAAUGGUUGCGGUAGUCGGCUCUUCCUCGGCGUGUCCACGGUUUUGCCUCGGUUUGUUUGUUGCUAUGGAGUCGAAGCUGCGGCGGAGGGGGCUGCGGUAUACGAUGACUGGCUGCGGAUAGCCCGUUCGGUGGUCCUUCGUGGCGCCAGCCAUGCCUGGUUUUGUCCUUCAAAGUUCUCCGUCAGAGUCGGAGCUGCGUUGUUUGGUUGUAGGUCGACGUGUCAGUCUAUGAGAGUGGGCUAGGCCCUUGUUGUAUCGGUUUUUGCCUAGUUUUUGGUGAUUAACUGGGCAAUUCUCUUCUACUUAUUUAAUAGAUGAGGCAAUCUUUGCCUCCGUUUAAAAAAAAGCUAGUCCGAUUUUGAGAAGAUGGAGUGAAACAAAAUAAUAGUUCGAAUGCGAUUGGGAAACUUUCACCAUAGCUGCAUGUAAUUUAUGUUCGUGCGGUUAUAGGGCUCUCUCUUUCUGUUUCAAGGAGGCUGAAAGCCCACAGUCGCCCAAACCUAAGCUUGUUGGAACUCAGCUCUCAGAUCGAUCACAUCAAAUUAUGAUGAACACAUGCAUACAAAAUUAUUUUGCCAAGGGUACG
Molecule: long non-coding RNA, 980 nt
Filed under: Hordeum vulgare
Lineage: Eukaryota; Viridiplantae; Streptophyta; Magnoliopsida; Poales; Poaceae
Description: long non-coding RNA (HVUL_LNC003333)
Source: RNAcentral